UUGCUUUCUCAAGCGAGUGGCGAACGGGUGAGUAACGCGUGAGGAACCUGCCUCAAAGAGGGGGACAACAGUCGGAAACGACUGCUAAUACCGCCCAAGCCCACGACCCGGCAUCUGGUAGAGGGAAAAGGAGCAAUCCCGCUUUGAGGAUGGCCUCGCGUCCGAUUAGCUAGUUGGUGAGGUAACGGCCCACCAAGGCGACGAUCGGUAGCCGGACUGAGAAGGUUGAACGGCCACAUUGGGACUGGAGACACGGCCCAGACUCCUACGGGAGGCAGCAGUGGGGAAUAUUGCACAAUGGGGGAAACCCUGAUGCAGCGACGCCGCGUGGAGGAAGAAGGUCUUCGGAUUGUAAACUCCUGUUGUGGAGGAAGAUAAUGACGGUACUCAACAAGGAAGUGACGGCUAACUACGUGCCAGCAGCCGCGGUAAAACGUAGGUCACAAGCGUUGUCCGGAAUUACUGGGUGUAAAGGGAGCGCAGGCGGGCGAUCAAGUUGGAAGUGAAAUCCAUGGGCUCAACCCAUGAACUGCUUUCAAAACUGGUCGUCUUGAGUAGUGCAGAGGUAGGCGGAAUUCCCGGUGUAGCGGUGGAAUGCGUAGAUAUCGGGAGGAACACCAGUGGCGAAGGCGGCCUACUGGGCACCAACUGACGCUGAGGCUCGAAAGUGUGGGUAGCGAACAGGAUUAGAUACCCUGGUAGUCCACGCGGUAAACGAUGAAUGCUAGGUGUAGGGGGUAUCGACCCCUCCUGUGCCGGAGUAAACGCAAUAAGCAUUCCGCUUGGGGAGUACGGCCGCAAGGUUGAAACUCAAAGGAAUUGACGGGGGCCCGCACAAGCAGCGGAGCAUGUGGUUUAAUUCGACGCAACGCGAAGAACCUUACCAGGUCUUGACAUCGAUGUAAAGCCCAAGAGAUUGGGUGUCUCUCCGGAGGACAGAAGACAGGUGGUGCAUGGUUGUCGUCAGCUCGUGUCGUGAGAUGUUGGGUUAAGUCCCGCAACGAGCGCAACCCUUAUUGUCAGUUACUAACGGGUGAAGCCGAGGACUCUGAUAAGACCGCCGGGGACAACUCGGAGGAAGGUGGGGACGACGUCAAAUCAUCAUGCCCCUUAUGACCUGGGCUACACACGUGCUACAAUGGUGAAAACAAAGAGAAGCGAGGCCGUAAGGCGGAGCGGAUCUCAAAAAAAUCAUCUCAGUUCGGACUGUGGGCUGCAACCCGCCCACACGAAGUUGGAGUUGCUAGUAAUCGCGGAUCAGAACGCCGCGGUGAAUACGUUCCCGGGCCUUGCACACACCGCCCGUCA
RNAcentral lists this ribosomal RNA (1308 nucleotides) under uncultured bacterium. RNAcentral's name for it is "bacterial SSU rRNA". It matches the Rfam family "Bacterial small subunit ribosomal RNA", at positions 79 to 1399 of the family's 1533-position model. The record is from RNAcentral.